CUCGUAGGUGGUUUGUCGCGUUGUUCGUGAGAACUCACAGCUUAACUGUGGGCGUGCGGGCGAUACGGGCAGACUGGAGUACUGCAGGGGAGAUUGGAAUUCCUGGUGUAGCGGUGGAAUGCGCAGAUAUCAGGAGGAACACCGGUGGCGAAGGCGGGUCUCUGGGCAGUAACUGACGCUGAGGAGCGAAAGCGUGGGGAGCGAACA
Molecule: ribosomal RNA, 207 nt
Filed under: uncultured bacterium
Lineage: Bacteria
Description: partial 16S ribosomal RNA
Rfam family: Bacterial small subunit ribosomal RNA
Source: RNAcentral